RNAcentral lists this ribosomal RNA (253 nucleotides) under uncultured bacterium. RNAcentral's name for it is "partial 16S ribosomal RNA". It matches the Rfam family "Bacterial small subunit ribosomal RNA", at positions 524 to 776 of the family's 1533-position model. The record is from RNAcentral.
GACGGAGGAUGCAAGCGUUAUCCGGAAUGAUUGGGCGUAAAGCGUCCGCAGGUGGCAGUUCAAGUCUGCUGUCAAAGACCGGGGCUUAACUUCGGAAAGGCAGUGGAAACUGAACAGCUAGAGUAUGGUAGGGGCAGAGGGAAUUCCUGGUGUAGCGGUGAAAUGCGUAGAGAUCAGGAAGAACAUCGGUGGCGAAGGCGCUCUGCUGGGCCAUAACUGACGCUGAGGCACGAAAGCGUGGGUAGCAAACAGG